RNAcentral lists this ribosomal RNA (322 nucleotides) under uncultured eukaryote. Its description in RNAcentral is "partial 18S ribosomal RNA". It matches the Rfam family "Eukaryotic small subunit ribosomal RNA", at positions 1470 to 1796 of the family's 1831-position model. The record is from RNAcentral.
CCCUUAGAUGUCCUGGGCCGCACGCGCGCUACACUGACAUGUUCAACAAGUUUCUCCUAGUUCGACAGGACUGGGAAAUCUUUGAACGCAUGUCGUGAUAGGGAUAGAUCAUUGCAAUUAUUGAUCUUGAACGAGGAAUUCCUAGUAAACGCGAGUCAUCAGCUCGCAUUGAUUACGUCCCUGCCCUUUGUACACACCGCCCGUCGCACCUACCGAUUGAAUGUUUCGGUGAAGAUUCCGGAUAGGACUGAUUUGAUUUAUUUCAUUUCUGACCUAAAAGCCAUCUAAACCUCAACAUUUAGAGGAAGGUGAGGUCGUAACA